AUAGUCACAUUCCGAUUAAUCGCCGUCACCACACACUGCGAGCUAUAAAGCCGGUCGUCGCUGGUCACGGUAAUUACUUGUCCAUCAAUAUAACCCCCGUGGAAUCAGCGUGAGUCUUAAUUGUAACAAUUUAUUCAGACAUAUCUUUUAGAACCAGUUUAUCAUCAGUCAGUGGAACGUCAAUAGAAUUAAUUAUUGAAAGAAGAAUGGCUUUGACAUUUACUCCUAAAAUAUUAUGUCAGUUUUCAUAUUAUGGCCGUGAGAAGAAGGACAUUAAUUUGAAAAAUAGAUUGGUAAUAAAUUCAACUGUAAGCACAAUUACAAUAUCACAGGAAACCUACCUCAACACACCGAGUUCAACACCGAAUCUGAUUUUGAACUAAAACUAGUGAAGAAGUAAAAAUUGUGAAGUACCAAUACAGCUUAUGUCCAGAAAAUUACUAGUUUGUCAUCCAAAACUUAUUUUUUCCCAAAUUAAUUGGUCAUGCACUAAAUAUACACAAUGCAUAAGUGCUCAUAAACAUUGAACAAAUGGUUGCUCACAGGCCAGUUUUUAGAUGGCACAAAAUAUUCACUCCCGAUAGAUGGCAAGGUGAAGUUACACAGUUACUGGCGAUUAUUAUUUGAAUUGAUUUAAUUAAGAAGUGGUGUAAUAAUAAUAACCUACAAUUAAAUUUAAGUAA
Acyrthosiphon pisum (pea aphid) is the source of this 683-nucleotide long non-coding RNA. RefSeq lists it as uncharacterized. The record is from RefSeq and is a predicted model, not a curated record. The transcript is spliced from 5 exons. Lineage: Eukaryota; Metazoa; Arthropoda; Insecta; Hemiptera; Aphididae.